AUGGAAGAAGCUUCACUCUACAAGGAAAAGGAAUUCUCAAGCAAGCACAUGAAAUUUGCACUUAAGUAUUUGGAGCCAAACCUUGCGAGAUAUGUGAUGAAGUCACUAGACCAUCCCUACCAUGUGAGCCUGAGGCAAUACAAGGCUAGGCAUCAUUUGAGUUACCUCCAGAACUUGCCUACUAGGCACACUGCAAUUGAGAAGCUGGCACUUGCAGAAUUUCAGAUGAAGAAGUUGCAACAUCAGAGUGAAAUGCAAGAGGUUAAGAAAUGGUGGGUGGAUUUGGGAUUGUCUCAAGAAAUUCCAGCUGCAAGGGACCAAGUUCUGAAAUGGUACAUGUGGUCCAUGACUAUCCUUGAGGGUUUCUCCUUCUCAAGAUAUCGGGUUGAGGCCACAAAGGUUAUCUCAAUGGUCUACAUUGUGGAUGACAUCUUUGAUCUUGUCGCCACACAAGAGGAGCUCUCUCGCUUUAAUGAGGCGAUCAAAAUAGGUAUUAGGAUUGGUUUGACAUAA
RNAcentral lists this ribosomal RNA (513 nucleotides) under Triticum aestivum (bread wheat). Its description in RNAcentral is "partial small subunit ribosomal RNA". The record is from RNAcentral. Lineage: Eukaryota; Viridiplantae; Streptophyta; Magnoliopsida; Poales; Poaceae.